GGGAGGAAAUAUGCUGGAGGAUUUGUAGCGUCAGGACUCUGUUAUUCUGUCCUUCAGUGGCCAAACACAACGUGUAGGUGAGAGAAUGCGGUGUGACUAAAUAUAGUUCAGUACUAUCACUUUUUUUGAUGGCAAAAAGCAUUGGCUGGCCAAGCAAUUGGCUGAUUAAAGGUCAGCUGGCCCUGGGUCAGUCAAUUAAACCGUGCGGUGCCCUUUUGGAGCGGUCUCUUCAUCUAGCUGUAGGAGUGUACAAGAGAAAGUCUCAAUUAAAAAGUUUAAAAGUAGAGUAGCUGUGUGUACAGCUGGAUUCAAUGCCUCAGGUUUUCUUUGCUGACACCUUUUUUCUUCCCAUGGGAGGAAGAGAAAGAAAUGAUAUUUAGUGGAUGUGCUAUUUUCAGCAACCAAACAUGGCAGCCCUGGGAUGACUCUUCUCUGCGCUUGGUCAGGGCUGUGGUCAUGUCUCCACACCUCUGGUGUGUCCAUUCUGAACUUGUUUUGCUUUGGUAACCAUUUUUCUUUUAUUUUUCUUUCUCUCUCUCCCUUUUUUUUUUUUUUUUUUUGGUUGGUUGGGUUUUUUUUUUUUUUUUUUUUCUCCCCAGCCAUGUCCAUUGCUAGGGUGCAACCUGCUGCCUUGGUGAGUUUUGGGACAGAUGUAAAGCAAACAAAUGAAACACACACAGCAAAAAACUUCAGUGCGAGAAGUAUUUGCAGAAGGGUUACAAGAAGCAUCCCAAAGGAGUGCUGUGUAUAAUGAGAGCCCUGACUGAAAAUGUGCAAAGCUGUUUGUCUCCCAGUCAGAGACGAAUCGGAGCGACUGCUGACAUACCGAGGUGUCACACUGAAGGGGAGUCUGCAGGCAGAGCUGGGCUGGCAAGUAUGUGGUCUCCAAGGAACUCGCUUCUUUUGGAUAGGUCGUAAAGCAGGUUAGGCUGAUUCUUAGUUAAUUUCUGGUUUUAAGUAUGUUAUUUCCUGUGAUAAAAGCAUUUACAGUGUAUUUUUAAGUGAGACAUUUAUAAAUG
Molecule: long non-coding RNA, 1019 nt
Filed under: Cairina moschata (Muscovy duck)
Lineage: Eukaryota; Metazoa; Chordata; Aves; Anseriformes; Anatidae
Description: domestica (muscovy Duck (domestic type)) lncRNA (ENSCMMG00000001864.1)
Source: RNAcentral